AGAGCCAAAUCCUCUUAAAGCUUCUAACUUUAAUACAAGCGCACCCACACGUUGUGGCUCUG
Molecule: transfer RNA, 62 nt
Filed under: Curculionoidea sp. 20 KM-2017
Lineage: Eukaryota; Metazoa; Arthropoda; Insecta; Coleoptera
Description: tRNA-Ser
Source: RNAcentral